This 557-nucleotide ribosomal RNA is filed under the name uncultured Glomus. RNAcentral describes it as "SSU rRNA". It matches the Rfam family "Eukaryotic small subunit ribosomal RNA", at positions 548 to 1098 of the family's 1831-position model. Lineage: Eukaryota; Fungi; Glomeromycota; Glomeromycetes; Glomerales; Glomeraceae. The record is from RNAcentral.
UUGGAGGGCAAGUCUGGUGCCAGCAGCCGCGGUAAUUCCAGCUCCAAUAGCGUAUAUUAAAGUUGUUGCAGUUAAAAAGCUCGUAGUUGAAUUUCGGGAUUGACGUGAUGGUCAUGCCUUAAGGGGUAUGAACUGUCACAGUUGAUUUCUCACCUUCUGGAGAAACUUGAUGUCCUUUAUUGGGUGUCUUGCGGAUCCAGGACCUUUACCUUGAAAAAAUUAGAGUGUUUAAAGCAGGCAUUUUUUGCUCGAAUACAUUAGCAUGGAAUAAUAGAAUAGGACGGCAUGGUUCUAUUUUGUUGGUUUCUAGGAUCACCGUAAUGAUUAAUAGGGAUAGUUGGGGGCAUUAGUAUUCAAUUGUCAGAGGUGAAAUUCUUGGAUUUAUUGAAGACUAACUACUGCGAAAGCAUUUGCCAAGGAUGUUUUCAUUAAUCAAGAACGAAAGUUAGGGGAUCGAAGACGAUCAAAUACCGUCGUAGUCUUAACCAUAAACUAUGCCGACUAGGAAUCAGACGAUGUUAAUUUUUUAAUGACUCGUUUGGCACCUUACGGGAAAC